CGAAGAACUACAUAUUUUUAAUUCAACGUUUCGACUACUGUUGAGUCAUCAUCAGGAAAAAAAUUCCUAAUGAUGACUCAACAGUAGUCGAAACGUUGAAUUAAAAAUAUGAAGUUUGGAA
RNAcentral lists this microRNA precursor (121 nucleotides) under Paramuricea clavata. Lineage: Eukaryota; Metazoa; Cnidaria; Anthozoa; Malacalcyonacea; Plexauridae. The record is from RNAcentral.